CCUGGGUGACGAGCGGCGGACGGGUGAGUAAUGUCUGGGAAACUGCCUGAUGGAGGGGGAUAACUACUGGAAACGGUAGCUAAUACCGCAUAACGUCGCAAGACCAAAGAGGGGGACCUUCGGGCCUCUUGCCACCAGAUGUGCCCAGAUGGGAUUAGCUAGUAGGUGGGGUAAUGGCUCACCUAGGCGACGAUCCCUAGCUGGUCUGAGAGGAUGACCAGCCACACUGGAACUGAGACACGGUCCAGACUCCUACGGGAGGCAGCAGUGGGGAAUAUUGCACAAUGGGCGCAAGCCUGAUGCAGCCAUGCCGCGUGUGUGAAGAAAGCCUUC
This 333-nucleotide ribosomal RNA is filed under the name uncultured Serratia sp. RNAcentral describes it as "bacterial SSU rRNA". It matches the Rfam family "Bacterial small subunit ribosomal RNA", at positions 83 to 419 of the family's 1533-position model. Lineage: Bacteria; Pseudomonadati; Pseudomonadota; Gammaproteobacteria; Enterobacterales; Yersiniaceae. The record is from RNAcentral.